RNAcentral lists this ribosomal RNA (470 nucleotides) under uncultured Pseudomonadota bacterium. Its description in RNAcentral is "bacterial SSU rRNA". It matches the Rfam family "Bacterial small subunit ribosomal RNA", at positions 35 to 501 of the family's 1533-position model. Lineage: Bacteria; Pseudomonadati; Pseudomonadota. The record is from RNAcentral.
GCUGGCGGUAGGCUUAACACAUGCAAGUCGAGCGAGAAAGUAUCUUCGGAUAUGAGUAGAGCGGCGGACGGGUGAGUAACGCGUAGGAAUCUACCUAGUAGAAGGGGAUAGCCCGGGGAAACUCGGAUUAAUACCGUAUACCUCCUAAGGGAGAAAGAGGGCCUCUCUUGAAGCUCUCGCUACUAGAUGAGCCUGCGUAAGAUUAGCUUGUUGGUAAGGUAAUGGCUUACCAAGGCUACGAUCUUUAGCUGGUCUGAGAGGACGAUCAGCCACAUUGGGACUGAGACACGGCCCAGACUCCUACGGGAGGCAGCAGUGGGGAAUAUUGGACAAUGGGCGCAAGCCUGAUCCAGCCAUACCGCGUGUGUGAAGAAGGCCUUCGGGUUGUAAAGCACUUUAAGCAGGGAGAAAAAGCAAUAAGUUAAUACCUUAUUGCCGUGAUGUUACCUGCAGAAUAAGCACCGGCUAAU